UACGUAGGGGGCAAGCGUUGUCCGGAAUCAUUGGGCGUAAAGCGCGCGCAGGCGGUCCUUUAAGUCUGAUGUGAAAGCCCACGGCUCAACCGGGGAACUGCGUGUGAUACUGGAUGGCUUGAGUUUGGGAGAGGGAUGCGGAAUUCCAGGUGUAGCGGUGAAAUGCGUAGAUAUCGGGAGGAACAUCAGUGGCGAAGGCGGCUGCCUGGCUCAAUACUGACACUCAGGUGCGACAGCGUGGGGAGCAAACAGG
RNAcentral lists this ribosomal RNA (253 nucleotides) under uncultured bacterium. RNAcentral's name for it is "partial 16S ribosomal RNA". It matches the Rfam family "Bacterial small subunit ribosomal RNA", at positions 524 to 776 of the family's 1533-position model. The record is from RNAcentral.